GGAAGUAAUUUUUUUUGGAACUUCUUCUGUAAUCUCUUCUUUCAAUGAUGACCUCUUGGAUGGCUGCAUGAAGCUUGUUCUGCUUUAAAUUUCAAGGGUUGAAAUGAUAGUGAUCUUAAAGUAGAAAAGCAGCAGACAAAAAUCAAUUAGCCACAAUGGUGUAUGGCUUCCUAGUUUCUCAGCAUAAAGUUGAAUGUUUUGUUGACCUCUCUACAUUCAAAAUCAUAUAGACAGCUACUGCUGGCACUUGCAGUAGCCAAUGAGCACUAUAGAGUAUAUAUUGCAGCGUGAGAUAAGAGUUCCCCUGGUUUGCAACUAAUUCACUUGUAUAUCUUGGAGCAUAGCCAUAAAUGGAAGGUUCUUCCAGUUCAAGAAAAUUAACCAUGAAGCUCAUAACUAGAAUUUUAGACAGAAGGGUGGCCAAGUGAACUCCUAUACCCUGUACCUCUGGAAUAAUACGGGGAAAGGAAGUAAAAAUAGAU
Populus trichocarpa (black cottonwood) is the source of this 482-nucleotide long non-coding RNA. RefSeq lists it as uncharacterized. The record is from RefSeq and is a predicted model, not a curated record. Lineage: Eukaryota; Viridiplantae; Streptophyta; Magnoliopsida; Malpighiales; Salicaceae. The transcript is spliced from 3 exons.